This 254-nucleotide ribosomal RNA is filed under the name uncultured bacterium. RNAcentral describes it as "partial 16S ribosomal RNA". It matches the Rfam family "Bacterial small subunit ribosomal RNA", at positions 524 to 776 of the family's 1533-position model. The record is from RNAcentral.
UACGUAGGUGGCAAGCGUUGUCCGGAAUUAUUGGGCGUAAAGCGCGCGCAGGUGGUUCUUUAAGUCUGAUGUGAAAGCCCACGGCUCAACCGUGGAGGGUCAUUGGAAACUGGGGAACUUGAGUGCAGAAGAGGAAAGUGGAAUUCCAAGUGUAGCGGUGAAAUGCGUAGAGAUUUGGAGGAACACCAGUGGCGAAGGCGACUUUCUGGUCUGUAACUGACACUGAGGCGCGAAAGCGUUGGGGAGCAAACAGG